This 1392-nucleotide ribosomal RNA is filed under the name Triticum aestivum (bread wheat). Its description in RNAcentral is "partial small subunit ribosomal RNA". The record is from RNAcentral. Lineage: Eukaryota; Viridiplantae; Streptophyta; Magnoliopsida; Poales; Poaceae.
AUGGGUCCGGCGCCCGGCGACUCGAAGCGGUUCUCCGGCGUGGUGCCGCCGGCGGCGCUCGUCUUCCUCGCGCUGGUGUUCGUCGCCGGCGCCAUCGUCACGCUCCAUCACAAGGAGAACCUGUCCAUACUGCAGGUGCAGCCACGAGAGCUGGCCGCUAACGAGGACUCGUUCAGGUCCGUGCCCCCGGCCAGCGAUCUGCGCGUCGCCGGGGACGACGUGACCGAGACGCCGUCGGCGGAACAGGCGACGCCACCGGUGGAACAAACGACGACGCUGGUGGAGCAAACGACACCGCCGGUGGAACAGGCGACGACGCAGGUGGAGCAAACAAGGCCGUCGGUGGAACAGGCGACGACGCCGGUGGAGCAAACGACGCCGCCGGUGGAAGAAGCCCCUGACAUCUGCGAGAGCCAGUGCAGGCCUCCGGGCAGCGAGGCGCUGCCGAGGGGCAUCGUGCAGGACAAGUCCAACUUCGAGUUCGAGUCGCUGGGCGGCAACCCCGGGCGGAAGGGGGUCGCCGCCGGCCGGCCGGCGAAGAGCCUCCUGGCGAUCCCCGUCGGCAUCAAGCAGAAGGCCGUCGUCGACAAGCUCGUCUCCAAGUUCCCGGCGGCGAACUUCGCGGUGAUGCUGUUCCACUACGACGGCGCGGUGGACGGGUGGAGCGACCUGCCGUGGUCGCGCCGCGCGGUGCACGUGGCGGCGGUGGACCAGACCAAGUGGUGGUUCGGCAAGCGGUUCCUGCACCCGGACCUCGUCGCCGACUACGACUACAUCUUCCUCUGGGACGAGGACAUCGAGGUGGACGGCUUCGACCCCAUGAGGUACCUCAGGAUCGUCAGGAAGGAGGGGCUCGAGAUCUCGCAGCCGGCGCUGGACCACCGGUCGCAGAUCCACCACCGGCUCACGGCCCGCGCGCGCCACGGCGGGACGGUGCACCGGCGGUUCUACAAGACGGCCGGAGGCGGGAGGUGCUACGGCAACAGCACGGGGCCGCCGUGCACGGGGUGGGUGGAGAUGAUGGUGCCGGUGUUCUCGCGGGCGGCGUGGCGGUGCGCGUGGCGGAUGAUCCAGAACGACCUCGUCUUCGCCUGGGGGCUCGACUUCAAGCUCGGGUACUGCGCGCAGGGCGACCGGAGCACGAACGUCGGCAUCGUCGACAGCGAGUACGUGCUCCACCGCGGCAUCCCCACGCUGGGUGACGGCGGCGGCAAGGGGCCCGCGCCGAAGGCGAAGGCGUCGUCGGCAACGUCGGCGGACAGGUAUGCAGUGCGGCUGCGAUCGUAUAAGGAGCUGCAGAUAUUCAACAAGAGGUGGAAGGAGGCGGUGGCGGAGGACAUGUGCUGGACGGACCCCUACCCGCAGCCGCCGACGCCGACGCCCAAGGGAUGA